AAUGGAAUACAACAGAAUGGACACAUGCAAAUAUGAGAAUUAGGUGUACAUGUGGGGUAUGCUGUGCUACUCCUUUUUUUUCUUUGUUUUCACUCCUCUGUUGUAUCUCUCUU
RNAcentral lists this non-coding RNA (113 nucleotides) under Palpitomonas bilix. The record is from RNAcentral.